This is a long non-coding RNA of Gopherus agassizii (Agassiz's desert tortoise), 376 nucleotides long. The record is from Ensembl. NCBI's taxonomy places the organism in Eukaryota, Metazoa, Chordata, Testudines, Testudinidae.
GCAUGGGUCUUACCAGUCAUGUGCAUCUGCAGCCUCUUCACAUGAUGGGGAUUUGUGGCUCCACAAAUGGCUCUGACCAUUCCUGUGUGCCUGGCAGCUCAAUCCUCUGCCCAGCUUGAGGACUGCUGCGUGAUUGGUCAGUGUAGGCUGCAAGGUUACCCCCAUCCCUGGAUGGAAUCCAACCUCAUACAGGUGAACUCCUCCUGGGAUGAAUACCUGUCUCAGGUGAGAUGCCUUGAUGUGAGAAGGGUUCCUGGAGUAAGUCUUGGCCAGCUCCUGAUCCAGCUGCCCAGGUUAAAGAUGCUGGUGUGGAUGGCUGCACUGUACUGAGUCAUGGCAGGUAGCCAGAGGCCUGGGUUCUGAAGUGCCUGGAAUG